UUUACAGAUCUGGCAGCACGAUCCCCAUUUUAUACCCUAACCUCGCCAGGAAAAAAUGCUCAAACGUCAAAUUCGAAUAAUCUUUCUUUACUCUCUAUUAGGUUAAAUUGCAUUUCUAUUUAAAUCACUGCUUGAGGAUUUCUAAAGAAAAUUUGGUUCCAAUAGUGGACAUUGUUGCAGCACAAGAUUUUAUGCACAGUAUUGGGCGAUGAAGCAGUAAAACACGCGGCGAGAGGUUGAGAAGCAAAGUCCCAGAAUCACGAUCCAACAGAUGAGUUUUUUCUUCCUCUGAUUGGCAAUUUUUGGAUUAAUGAGCAUUGUUGAUGCAAUUUUUAGCCAGGUUUGUGUCAAUGAUAAAGAAAAUUGCAUUGCAUUUAUUUAAUAUGGUGCAUAUUACAUUAGUGUUACAUGGAAUGACUUUCUACAGAAUUUCUUAUGUUGCCAUAUAAUGUUGGCAAUUCGGACCUCUGGGAUUAAGAAUGUAAGGUGAAUUCUUUAAACACCUUUUCAAUUGUUUGGUCAUGGUAUUCCAUAACGUACCUUGAGCUGAGCGAUAAUUUACUAAGUUGUUUCGCAAAACAAUGCGACUCUUGGAAUAUUUUAAAGAGUCAUUUGGUCGGGGGCAAUUACCAAAUUUUGAUGUAUUUGUCCAACUAUGAAGUCGUGGGAAUCCGCAUCCUUUGCCAGGACCAAGUGACAACAUAUAAACAAAGGAAGCACAUUUAUCUUUUAGAUGGAAAAUAAACAGUGGCCAUAGGCCAUAACUGAUAGAUGCCACCUGAUAGAUGCCACAUUAUUCUUUGAAACGGAUUUCGCUUGCUAAGGGCGAAUGUGCUACAGAUUAUGAUUUUUGAUUUUGUUAGGAAAAAUGGUUUCUAACUAUUCUUGAAAUGCAUCAGAUAAAUGUGUGGAUAAUGCAAGUAUAACCUCUCAAUGUUCUGGAAUUGCUUGUUAGUUUAUUAUGUAUUUAAGUUUUCUGCUGCAUUUUAUACAUGUAUGGCAUAACUAGGAAGAGCAAUAAACCACAGCAGGGCACCCUAUUAAGCAUGAAAGUUAUGAAGUUCUCUUCAUCAUGAUGUUAGUAGCGUUAGAUGCAUUAACUUUACUAAAUAGAAAUACUUCCAUGAGACAUGGAACAUCUUAUAUGUGCAAACACUUGUCAUAACAGUUAUAGUUGUAAAUUUGAGUUUUUAAUAUUGUUCCAUGUUUUGUAUUCAUAAGCAUAUACUAUAAAACAAAUUAAUGAUGGAUUAUUUCUAUUGAUUUGGCAUAUUUUAAAUCUUAUUAGGAGUUUAGAUUUAUAACAUGUCCAAGGAGGUAUGGCUAAAGCACACAUUCAAUGAUCACCUGAGAACAACCUCACCUCGCCGUUGAAAUAUCAAAGGUGAGGUCAAUGAGUAAGGUACUUCGUCUUGUGAUUUGCAGGCAUGGUGAGCAUAUCCCAUCAGGAGGGAAGUGCUCGUUACAUGUAAUAUUCUAGAGAUAAACGUCGAGCCUAAUACUCUUAAUAGAUUUGUAAAAAUUAUUGUUGAUGUUACUUGUAGGAAUAUCAUUGAAAGCCUCCCUAAGUGAGUGAUGGAAGUUAGACAACUUUCUUUGAGUUUGUGGCUUUAACUCUAAGAUUGUUAUGAUACGAGGAUAAAAACGCAAGGCCUUUAACAGAUUGACUUAUAUGAAUGCCAAGGGAUUAGAAGCCUUUGUGUGAAACACGUCUGGCUAGGUUAUAUAACAUCUGUAAUUCAAAGAUAAGUUUACUAUGCUUCUUUGGUUAGCUUUGAGAAGUUCAUAAGUAGAUGUUCAAGUUGAGACAUGCUCAUUUAUUCACGAAUUCCUUUGUUUGCUACAGUUAAGUUUUAUUUUGUAGUAGUGGAGAAUUGCUGGAACAAUUUCAUAAGUAAUAUAAAGGAAUUGGUUGGUUCAUAUAUAUAUUACAAGCUAAAUAGAUUCACAAGUGUCAUUCUUCAUGACUCUCAGGACUUCAAAAAGGUCCUAAAAUUUGGUAUUUCCCCUUACACUUUGGGAUGAUUCAGAUUGUAGGAGAUAGUUUUUCAAUUUUUGUUUCUAGUAUCAUACGGGUAAUACCUGUUAAUAAGCCAAUUCUCAUAAAAAGUCAUAGGAUGAAUCAUUGAAUCUGCACUCUAACUCCAAUAAGUCAUAUAUCACUUCAUUAUAUACAAAACAUACGAAAUUGUCUUUGAAUGAUUGAUAAAUAUAACAGCUAGUCUACUGCUGCUAAACCCUCAACACUGAGUUCCCAUAUGUAGGGAGCUCCACUCUGAUAAAAAUGAUUAACAAAUAAGAUUAUAGUCCAACACAUUGAACCACAAUUUGCUACUGUUUGUGAAUGCAAAUAAAUUCAACCAAUUAAAAGAUGCAUGUGCCUGUCGCACGCAAUCCAUUUCAAAGAAAUAAGUGCAAAUCAAAUGAGGAUACAUUGGUUUCAUCAGCUCAUACAGGCCUUUGAGGCUCUCUUUAAUUUCUGAAGCAAGACUCACCUCUGAGUCAUUUGGUCAUGGAGAUAGACACCAGAGACCUUUGCCAUUGUUGGAGCGAAAGGAAUAAAAUUUUGAAUACAAUCUGCUGGUUCCUGAACCAGUCCUAUUUUCCUCCAGGAUCUGGUCGAUAUAUUGUGCAUGUGGAUCUCUCCGUCUUCUCCUUUCUUUCUCAAAAGAAAAGACAGUCUUUUGCCGUCAAAAAACAUUGGAAUACCAUACCUGUAGUCAUUGUUUCCUGUGUUACUUAUAUUUUCAAUAAUAUGCCUGAUUUUCCAUUCUUUGUUUUCAUAAUGAUAAAUAGAGAUGACAUUUUCUUCUUGAAAAGCACUCACAAAUGCAAGCGAACCUUGGACCCCACCAAACCAUAUGGCAUAUCCUAAGAAGCACCGACACGGAUACGAGUGUGAAAUGUGUUGGACACGCCGACACGUGAUUUUUUAAAAAGGUUCCGACACGAUAUGUCGCCAACACAUUGAUUACAUUUUUUAGUUUAUUUUAAUUUUAUAGUCUAAAGUAAUAAUUUUUUAUACUUAUUGAAUCAUAUAUAUAAUGAUAAAUAGAAAUCAAACUUGAUAUUAAAUUCAUAAAUGUUUCUUAAUAACAUAAGUUCAAAAAGUAAAACUAAAUUAACUACAUCAUUCAUCUUGAAUCUCUUCAACAUCUUCAUCUCCAUCCGCAAAUACUAUCGCCUCCAAUUCCGGUUCGUCUAGAGAUAAAUUAGCAACUUCAAACACACCAACAUCUUCAAAUGUAUCAAAUGGAUCUCCACCAAUGUCCCACAUUUUAGUCUCUUCUUGUGAGUAUUGCGCACUCCUCCUUAACAAGAGAUGAAGAUUGCUAUGGACGAAAACCAAACCUUUUGCACGUUUUGGAGUUAGCUUAUUUCGUUUAAGAGAGUGCAAAAAGGAAUAAGUACUACAAUUUUGCUCACAACACGAUGAAGAAGAUGGUUGCCCCAAUAAUUUCAAGGCAUAACUUUGAAGUAUAGGUGUGCAAGCACCAUAAAUAACCCACCUAGUCUUCGGGUCCAAGCAGUAACGAUCAUGGAUGGAUUCAAAAUCACCAAAGUCAUCUUCCAUAGUCGAGAAUUUGGCAUACUCCUUAUUCACCAUAUUACGCUUUUCAUUUGACAAGUACCUCUUACAAAAUUUUAUUCUUUCUUUUGAAAUCUCUACAUCUCUAUGUGGAGCAAGUCGAGUGGGAUCCUCAUUUAGCCAAUCCUCGCUAUAGUACCUAAACAAGACAAAAAAAUUAAAGAAAUAAUGCCCUUGUUUGAGCCCCAUUUUUUGGGAUAUAAUGAAUUUUUGAAUAGUGUAUUGAUGGGAAAUGUGUGGUUAAAAAAUAACGAAAAAUUUUGAAUUUACGUGUAAUAUUAUUUUAUUGAAAAGUGUGUGGUUGAAAUGAUGUCAAAACACUGUUGAAAAAUAUAUUUUUUCAAAAGAAUGAAGCUCAAACAAGGGCAAUAAUUCAUACAAUAACUAACGAAAAAUAUUAAAAAUUAUGAAAAUGUAAAUAAAAAAUAAAUGUAUGAAUUAGAUUUAAAAGUUACCUUGGAUUUAGAGAAUGAGACAAGCAAUGAAGUGAAGUGUAAUUUUUGUUCCAACGAUCUAUAAGUAUCUGAUGAACAACAUUGUAGAAUGAUGAUUCCUCUUCUUGAACUUUUUUCUCAUGCUUAUAAAUUAUUUCUCUCACUUUUCAUUCAUUGUAUCCCACAUGUCUUAAACCAAGUGAAGGCGAGGUUCAUCCAUAUCUUUCAUUCUACCAGAAUAAUCAACUACUUUUAAAAAUAUUUGUCCAUUCUCGGUCGUCACCAUAAAAUUAAUUAGUGGUCUUCUUUGUGGAUCACUCCAUUCAUCACUUACAAUGGUAUAUCCUUUUUCUGCCCAUGUGCCCUUAAUUGGAUUUAAUAAGCUUUCCACACUUUUUCUCUCUUUUUUAAGAAGAGUGGUUUUCAACUUGUUAUAACCGGGAGGCAGAUAUGCCGAAAUUCGAUUAUUGGAAGCAAGAGUAUAAGAACUAAUGUAAUAAGGAUUUCUUGCAAGAGUAAAAGUCAAACCACUUGAAUAAAACAUUCUAGCAAUUUCGGAAUCCAAUUGGUCACGUGUAGUCACAUUAAAAAUAUUUUCUAUUGCAUUAUUCUUUCUUUUCUUUUCCUCUAAAGUAUAACAAUCCUUAGCACUUAUAUCAUCCGACGGGAAUGACACUCUUUUCCCCGCCUUAGUUUUUAUUCUCAACUUUUCUUCAUCUUCCAUUUUUUGCAUUUUACUUGUAUCUUUCAUGUUUACUUUUCCACAAUCCCCAAUUCCAUAGCCUCGUAAUUUUAACAAAUGUGUCAUCACUCUUGUGUAUGAACUUGUCUUAGUUGCAUUACAAAAAUUGUAUUGCCAAAUAAUGUUACCACCCUUUUCAUUAAAUUUAUCAAGUUUUGUAACAUAUUUCCAAAGAGGUUUAGACAAAUUAUCAUUCAUAGCAUUACCACUCAUAACAUCAAAAGAAAAAUAAUUUCAAAUACUUAAAUAAGAUAGGAGUGUAUUACCCGAAACUUGAAAAAAUAUCUUCUUUUUGAUCUUGCAAAUGAUUCUUCAAAUGUGGAUUGAUGAAAUUUUUGAAAAAGAUGAAAUAACAAAGAAAAAUUGAAAUGGGUUUUUUGAAAUUUUCUUGCAAUUUUCGUAAGUAGCAGUGAGGAAGAAAAUGUGUUUGAGUUCUUAUAUAAGUAUGACUUUUUGUUGAAGGGUAAAAUGGUACAAAUUGAUUCAAAUAAAAUAUUCUAUAUUAUCUUAUCAAAAAUUACAACUGCGGAAAGAUACAAAACGUACAAGAUUUUACAAGUGAUGUGCCUUAAAAUUUAAAAUUUGCAUUGGUAAAGGGUGACUUUUCAUUUCUGGUAGUCUUUUCCUCUUCUCCUCUCUUCUUUCUUUUCUUCCCCAGACAAGUCAAUUCCAGUGGUUGCAGGAUAACAAUCUCUUCCUCUUCUCUAUUCUCUCUUUUUUCUUCCUUCCACAGACCGCCAAACUUCCGUCAGCUACAUUUCUUCCUCCCAUUUAUUUUUCUUUGUUGCUUCUCUUUAAGUCUGUUGCCCACCAAUGACUCUGACAUGCGUCGGCAACGUGUCAUAGGAAUAUCAGUGUCUAAUACAUGUCGGACACCGAUAUGUUGUCGCCGGCAGCAUGUCAGUGCUUCUGAGAUACCGUCCUUCAUGAAAACAUAGAAAAAUCAUUACACAACAAAACCAUGGGCAACUUGAAUAACGACAUAGUUCUUGAGGUGAUCUUGUGCUUUCGUCCAAGAGAUGCAGUUAGAUGUAAGAGCCUAAACAAGAAUUUCAAUGCCUAUAUCUCUAAUAAAAGAUUUGCACAUGAACACUUUGUUAAAUCGAUUCACAAAGUGUGUAACCUCAUUCACUUCUCGAAUACUUCUCCUAGCGUUUUUUACCAACUUCAGCUAGACCCUCCUUACCCUCUUGACAUGUUAGAGGUUUAUGAAAUCCUACCCAUUCAAGUUCCUAUAUUGGCCUUGUGUGGUGGCUUUCUUCUCUACAUUUUAAGAUACAGGAACUAUUGUGUGUUUUCAACCCUAUCAUCGGGGAAUUCCAAAUGGUGUCAAACAAAAAUCAUGAUGGCUGGAUUGUUGGGCCAGUUGGAAUGGCUGUUGAUUCCAGCACCGAUUCAUUUACAAUCAGAUUGAUAGCAAUCCAUGUAAAAGAAGACAAAUCCCAGGUGAAUCAAGUGUCUAAAUUCACAGCGUUUCCAGUUGGUUAAAAUAAGUGGGAAGAAAUCAAUAUAUAAUUUGUUUGCAAAUCAAGUAUGUUCAGCAUAAAUACUCAACCUGUUUACUUCCAUGGCUCAGAGAAGAUGGCGAUAUUCUUGCUUUCAACAUGAAAAAAUACCAAGCUAGAAUCAUUUAGGGACCUGGUCAGACAACCUCUAUAAUGCGUAUGACCUUAGAAGUACUGACACGCUGCUUGCGACAACAUAUCGAUGUCCGACACAUAUCGGACACUGAUACGCCUUUAACACGUUGCCAACGCGUGUUGGAGCCAUUGCUGGGCAGCUGACUUGAAGAGAAGCAAAAAAGAAAAAUAAAUGGGAGGAAGAAAUGCAACCGACAGAAGUCUGACGGUCUGGGGAGGAAGAAAAAGAGAAGGAAAGAAAAAAGAGAGAAGAGGAAGAGACUGCUGGCCUGAAAAAAUACAACCGCUGGAAUUGACUUGUUUGGGGAAGGAAAGAAGACAGAAAAGGAAAGAAAGAGAGAAGAGAAGAGAAGAGAUUGCUGGAAAUGAAAAGUUACCUUUUACCAAUGCAAAUUUUAAAUUGUAGGGCCCACCACUUGUAAAAUUUUGUACGUUUUGUAUCUUUCUACAGUUGUAAUUUUUAAUAAGAUAAUAUAUAAUAUUUUAUUUGAAUCAAGUUGUACCAUUUUACCCUUCAACAAAAAGUCAUAUAAGAACUUAAACACAUUUUCUUCCUCACUGCUACUUACGAAAAUUACAAGAAAAAUUCAGAAAAUCCAUUUCAAUUUUUCUUUGUUAUUUCAUCUUUUUCAAAUCAAUCCACAUUUGAAGAAUCAUUUGCAAGAUCAAGAAGAAGAUAUUUUUCAAAUUUCGGGUAACAUCUCUCCUAUCUUAUUUAAGUAUUUGAAAUUAUUUUUUCUUUUGAUGUUAUGAGUGGUAAUUGUUGUGCAUGUGGCUCAUAUAGAGUGAAACACAGUUCCUAGAUCAAAUGGGCCGAUGUCGGAGCGGAGUGUAGUGAGAGGAUAGGAGCGAUGGCAUCGGCCUUGUGCGGGUGGUGGGGGG
Molecule: long non-coding RNA, 7287 nt
Filed under: Olea europaea subsp. europaea
Lineage: Eukaryota; Viridiplantae; Streptophyta; Magnoliopsida; Lamiales; Oleaceae
Source: RNAcentral